GGCUUAUUGAAAAUAAUUUUAAGUCUAUCUGCCCAAUGAAUUAAAUUUUAAUGGCUGCAGUAUAAUUAACUGUACAAAGGUAGCAUAAUCAAUUGUUUUUUAAUUAAAAACUAGAAUGAAAGAAUUAAUGAGAUAUAUACUGUCUCAUAUAUAUAAAAUAAAUUUAAAUUUUUAGUAAAAAUGCUUAAAUUAUUUUAUAAGACGAUAAGACCCUAUAGAAUUUUAUAUUUAUAUAUAAUUAAUUAUUUAAUUAUAAUUUAAAUAUUUAAUUGGGAGGAUUAAUAAAUUUAAUAAACUUUAUUUUUAAAAUAAACUUUAAUUUUAGAAUAUAUUAAUUGAUCUUAUUAUUAUAAAUUAAAAAAAUAAAUUACCUUAGGGAUAACAGCGUAAUGUCUUUUUAAAGAUCAUAUUAAUAAAGAUGUUUGCGACCUCGAUGUUGAAUUAAGAUAAAUUUUAGGUGAAGAUAUCUAAAUAUUAAGUCUGUUCGACUUUUAAAAUCUUACAUGAUUUGAGUUCAAAUCGACGUAAGU
Molecule: ribosomal RNA, 530 nt
Filed under: Bombus hedini
Lineage: Eukaryota; Metazoa; Arthropoda; Insecta; Hymenoptera; Apidae
Description: partial 16S ribosomal RNA
Rfam family: Bacterial large subunit ribosomal RNA (bases 378-530)
Source: RNAcentral